Molecule: long non-coding RNA, 656 nt
Organism: Neopsephotus bourkii (Bourke's parrot)
Lineage: Eukaryota; Metazoa; Chordata; Aves; Psittaciformes; Psittacidae
Exons: 4
Source: RefSeq, a predicted model, not a curated record
UCCUGUGGUAACCAAGAUACAAGCCUGAUUUUAUUUAUGUUACCACUGGCUCAGCCUUAGCAUGAUUUCAUACGGAAGCAGACCAUAUUAUGGAGCCAGCUAGAAGGAUAGGACCCUGCCUAUCCUUAUAAGAUCAAAGCAGGCAGAUUAUUGUGCAAGAAAAACUACUUCUUCAUCUGGCUGGGAAAAGAAGAGACAAGAGUUUUACUCACAGGGGACAGAUAUCAAAGGAAGAAACUCCUGGGUCUACCUGGGAAGGAGUGUGAUGAUUGAAAAGAAAGGCUGAAAUGCACCUCAGCUAACCUGAGGUUCCUGCAGUGGAAAUAUCUACAGCUGAGAUAAAUUUCCUGAACUCCUGCAAUAGUUAACAGAGAAAUAGGCACCAUGGGGCAAUUCAUCUCACCCCAAAGUGGGCAGCUGAAGUAGUUCAAGAAAAAGGAUAGGUCUUACAGAAGCAGAAGUUUGGAUCACUGUUCUCGACUGCAAAUGAGUUCCUUGAAGAUUUGCACUUCCCGGAGUGGGCACCCCCUCCUUGUCCCAGUAGGCGUAGCUACAAGGAAUUCAAACUGCUGUUAAGCAAAGUGAAUGCCCCAUCCACAUCUCCAUGGAAAUCUAGCUGGCUCAUCCCUUGCUAUGGGAACUGUAGCCUCAAAGUG